CAAAAAAAACCUUAGCCUCCAUUUCUGGUUCUGAAGCUGGAAGGGACUGGGAGUCAAAAAAGACAGUCAUUAGGUGGGGAAGAGAUUGUUUCCCCAGGGCUCAGAAGGAACUGGCCCGCCAACAUUUCAGCAUUAGCCCUCUAGCACCCAUUCUGGACUUGACCUCUACAAUGGUAAGAUAAUAAAUUUGGGGUGCUUAAAGUCCCUUACUCACCCAGUGCAUCGUAAGUUGUUACAACAGCAAUAGGAAACUAAUACAACUCCCACUGAACAAAAGAGAUUAAUAAAAGAAAAAACUGUAAACUUUUUCUAGGGAAGGAAUGUGAUGAUAAUAAAUCAACAUGACAUAUACAAACUAGCAACAGUCACUUUAGGGACUGUGAAAUCCUCAUUUGUUAAAAUGAAAGUAGAAUAACUCAGCCACUUAUAUACUUUACGAAGCACUUAUUUUCAUCUUCCUGGUCUCAGAAGACAGAUCGGUUUGGGCAUAAUAAAUAUUACAGAAUAGCAUUACCAACAUUUUUUUUCAUUGUCUGGGAGGGUUUUUUUGUUGUUUUUUUUCCCUAAACAUGAUUACUACAAAUAAGCCAUCCUGACUGUAGAAUCUAGUGCCUUCAGGAAUUUAGAAGAUAAUUAAAUUUAAAAGGAACAUUUAUGAUCAUUUAGCUUACUCCCUUCAUUUGAGAGAUAAAUUAUUGAACUCUAGAGAUAAAGAGACUUGACCAAAGUGACUCGGUUUUUAUUAUCCAAGUGGAAAGUGAAAUGCCACUCCCUCCUGAUCCUCCAGACGAGGGUCACUGGCAGAAGGUGAGAAGGACGAAAGGGAGGAUGAGAAGAGAGGGGAACCUGAAGAAGAGGGAGCAGCCACACAAAGGAGCUUGGAUUUACUCAGAAUGCAACAGGAAUCCAGGGAUAUGUUGUAUAUUUUUAAUGCAUAAAUUUAACAUAAAUUUAAUAACAUGAAUAUACAAAUUUAAUCUAGUAGAGAUACGAAAAUGAAAGUAGAGACCAGUCACAAGGUUAUUGCAAUAUUAGAGUGAGAGAUGAUGGCACAUGGAAGAGGGUGGUAGUCAAGGUGGCAAUGAGAAAUAGAUCAAUUCAGGAUCUACUCUGGGGUUACGAACGACAGGACUCAUUGUUAGGCUAGGGAUGGGUAAGGAAAAUAGUGAAAUCAGAUACUAUUCCAAGAGUGUGACUUAAUGUCGCCACAUCCUGAAGUGGGAAAAAUAAGGGGGAAAAUAAGAAUUCACUGUAUCUUUUAAGUUCAAAACACCAAUUAAACAUUAAUAGGUAAUUUCUUGAUUCGGUCCUUACAUGUCUACUUUUGCGUAGAGCUUUCUCCCAGGAAUAACAACACACACUUACUCUUCUUAUGCAGCUUUAAUUGAAGGAGGAACUAAGCAUGAGUGGUGUUGCAUAAGAGGAGUUCAAAGAUGUCUGCAAGGGAAGGCAGCAAAGGAUUCACCAUGAGACAGGUACUAACAAAGUGCUAUAGUAGUCAUAAGGAGACUGUUUCUCACUGGAAACGAAAAGAAUAAUUGAGGAAGUAUUAUUGAAAAAGGGUCUUUUUGGAGUGACAGGUGGUAUUCCAGAGAAAACUGUUCUCAAAGGUGAGGUGGUGUGGUAGUUCACAGCAUGCCCAAAGAAAUAGAGCACUCUUAUGUUGAUAGAUUUGUUCAUUCAUGAAGUAUUUAUUGAAAACGUAGUAUAUGUCAAGUAUUAUGUUACCUGAUAAGGAUUCAAAGAUGUGGCAGACACAGAACUGUGGUCCUCAGGAGCUUUACUGAGUAGAGUAGAAUAAAUUCAAGAACAUAUGGAAAAGAUAUGAAAACAAAUACUUAUUCAUACAUUUGUCAUUCUUUCACUAGAUAUUUGUCGAGCAUCUACUUGUUCUAUAAGUUGCACAUUGUUCUAAGACAUAUUCUGAUAUAAGUGGAUGUGCUUAUGAAAAUACUAGGCAAGAAACAGUAAAGUCCAGGUGGUUUUACUUUGGGAUGUGAUUGUGAUUAUUUAGGAAAGGUUUUACAAACCAGUCAACUCUUAAAUUACAGUAGUUGGAGUUAUGACCAAAAUACAAUACAGUAACAUACUAUGGAGGGCCCAUAAGCCAGUCCAAGGAGUUUGGGCGGUAUACUGUUGGCAAUAGGAAGUCAUUGAAAGGUUUUUAACACCUUAAGUGGCAGAAUUAGAGUUUUCAUUUGGCGCUUAGUAACUUGAUAUAGACAGAACUAAAGAAGGAUAAGCAGAGAGAGAAAGAGAAGUUUUGAAAGACUUUCAGUCUCCCAGAGGAAAAGUGAUGGAGAUCUGGUCUGAGGUGGAGAUAGCAGGUGUGGAGAGCUCAGGAGCCACUGCAGAGGUCAAAUAAAUGAGACGGGGGCCGCUAACCCGCCAUACCUUCUUUGUUUCCACAUCCAAGCCAGAUGACUGCUGCAAACGAAAGCAGCUUGAUGGGUAAAGAUGCACUGAAAUUAAGGCACUCAGAAGGAUAGGAACGCAAAAUGUAUUCUACUUCCACUACAGAAAACUGCUUUGCAGUUUCUCAAGAAGUUAAACAUAGUGUUACCGCGAUAUCCAACAAUUCCACUCCUAGGGAUAUUUACCAAAGAACUGAAAUCAUGUCUACACAAAACCCUAUACAGGAAUAUUUACAGCAGAGUCAGUUGCAAAUAGCCCAGAGAAGAAACAGACGUCCAUCAACAGAUGAAUGACAAAGAAAACGUGGCACAGCCAUGGAAUGAAAUAUUAAUCAUCUUUGAAAAUGAAGCACUACUUCAUGCUACAAUGAGGAUGAACCUUGAAAUAUAUCAAGUAAAAGGAACUAGACACAAAAAGUGACAUAUUAUAUAUUUGCAUUUAUUUUUUGAUUCUCUUUAAAUGUCUACAUUAAGCAAAUAAUUAGAGGCAGAAAAUAGAUUUAUGGUUUCCAGGGGUUUUGAUGGGCAUGGAUAGAAAAUGACUGCUAAUGUUUUCGGAGUUUCUUUGAGGGGAUGAUAAAAAUGUAAAAUCAGAUAGUGGUGCUUGCUGCACAACCCUAUGAAUAUACCAAAAAUCAUUGAAUUGUAUACUUUAAAAGGGUAAAUUUUAUGGCCUAUAAUUUGUAUCAGUCAGUGCUUACUAUAGAAACAGAUUUAAUCCAAGAUAUACAAAUAUAUAAAGAUUUACAAGAUUGGUUUACAAUGGCUGCCCACAAAAUCAAGUAUUACAAAAUCAGGUGUGGAAGAGUGGAAAAAGGUCUGUCUGCAUGAUCCAGAGGAUCCAGUCGAAGGCUCACUGUAGUGUCCUGGGCAAGUCCAUAUCAGGAGGCUGAAGGGUCUGCACUGAAAGGCUGAAGAUGAUAUCCAAGGUGAAGGUGAAGACUAGAGCUCCUUGGAAGAAACAGAAGCAAGGCUUCCGUCUUCAUUUCCCCUUUCUACCAUUCAGGUGACAGGCCAGCCUAAGGUGGGUCUUCGGUCUUCAGUAAAUCUCCAGCCACACUCAGAAUUAUGUUGGUCCAAACUUAGUUGGGCGUUUCCUACUCAAGUUGCCACUAUCGGUUAACUAUCACAUAAUUUACAAGUCAGUGACUUUACUGGAUAAAGAAAAUGUGGGGUUUUUUUAUAAAAUGGAGUACUACUCAGCCAUAAAGAAUGAAAAACUAGAGUCAUUUAUAACUAAAUGGAUGCAUGUGGAGGCCGUACUCUUAAGUGAAAUAAAUAGGACACACAUGUGUAAAUACCGAAUAGUUUCUCUAGUGUGAGAAACUGAUAGUGUAAACAAGGGUUAAAAUGAUUAAAAUGAAUAAUUGAUAAUUUGAAAUAGGAAAACAGGUCCAAAGACAAAGGAGUGAAGGGAGGGGAAGGGGAAAGGAAAAGAGGGAAAGGAAAAUCUAUGAGAAAAGAAAAAAAAAUGGAAAUGAAAUCUAUGUAAAUAGGGAAGGGCGGAGGGGGUGAAGGGUGCACAGGUAAUGGGGGAAAAAAUAAGAACCAAGAUCUAUCAUGUACAGGUACAGACACCCACUGAUAAAUGUAAACGAAUUGUAUACCUAAAGUGUACCAAUAAAAGAACUAAAAAAAAAAGUCAGUGACUUCAAGAUUCCAUAGAGCAUUACCAGGAUAUAGUGAACACAAGGAGGGACAGAUUUAGAGGAAGAAAAAAUGAGUUUGGGUCAUACUAAAAUUAAGACUAAUAUUUGUAAAUAUUUAGAUAGAAAUAUCUAUUAUUGGAAAUAUGUUUGUCUAAAGUUUGGAAGAGGUGGAUUUGAGUAUUGUCUAUAUGGAAGUGAUUGGAAACAUAGGAGUGUAUAAAAUUCUGAGAGUGAAAAGAUACGAUCAAGACAAGAUGAAGUGUUGACACACAUUGUAGAAAGGCAUCAAUGGGGAGAACAUUAUCCCCAAAAGAAAGAAAAACUAUCUGAAAAAAAUGCCUGUAAAAUACAGAGAACUGAUGUAUAUGGCCAGUGUGGCAGAGCACAGAGGUAAAGGCGGAAAGAUGAACCUGGAUGGGUCAUCAGAGGUGAGUUCAUAGAAACUUUGUAGGCAGGGAUCAGGAUGCUUGGUCCUUCUCUUAAGAAUAAUGUGAAGCUAUUUAAUACGUAUAGUCAUAAUUAAAUUUGCAUUUUUAAAUGAUCACUCUAGCUGUAACGUGGAGAAUAAUUUAGAGAGAGGUCUGGCCAAAAAUGGUGAUGAGAGAUACUAAUCUGAUAUAGCAUGGUGACAGUGUAGUUGAAGAGAUUUGAGGAUUUCAGCAACCUUAGUAUGGAUCAAAUAUGGAUGGUGAAGGAGAGGCAAGUGUCACAGAAUAGGUCUCAUUUUCUGCCUUUGGUUGUUGCUUGAAUGGAUAGUGGUCCCCUUGAACGGGAUAGAAAAGAAAUCCAUUGUUGGAGAUGAGUGGAAAGGUGGCAGUCAGAAUCCACAAUUGAGAAGAAAGCUGUGCGUACAAGUCUGCUGCCCAGCAGAGAGCUCUGAGGUGAAGAUGGUAGCUUAGACAUGGUCAGCACGCGGUUAGUAGUUGAGGCCAUGGAGUGAAUGAGAUUGAUUAGGGAGAGAGAACACAGCCAGAAGCAAACAAGACCAGUCUAGAGCUACAAGAUUAAUGACUAUAAUAAGCUUACAGAACACAAGCAUUUAACUGUCAAAUUGAGGAGAGUGAGCCAGUAAAAGAGUGGGAGAAAAGAGUUGAUGAGAGAAGUAGAAAGGACAUCAGGAUAAUCCAGUGUUAUAGAAACCAAGGAAAAGGGUUCAAAGAGAAACAAGUAAAUAGCUUUGGGUGAUGUUAAAUGACGAACAACAAUAAAGACUAAAAAUGUUGGUUGUAAAAAAUUAAUAUAAUCCUAUGGCAACAAUUUACCAUAAUAGAUUAAAUUACAAAACUGAAAUCUGAACUCAACUUUUUAAUAAGAAUGUGUGACUGAUAGUGUUUCUUGUUGUACAUGCUUUGCAAAUGCUGAAAGGAGUCCCUGUUAAUGACUGGGGAACUGAAACUUGGUAGCAUUCCAAGAAGCUUUCGUAAGAAGCCAUGACUCAGCCAUCUGGAGAGUGCUCCAGAGAUUUCCAAACCCGUAGCCUCCUGACUUCCCCCUUCCUACAAUCUCCACCCAAAAAAGACCAGGAAGGUAGAAAUGAACUUGGAAUUUCUAUAAUUUCUGAUAGUUUCUAAAAACAAAGAAGGUAGACACCCAUAUUCAACUCAUCAAGUCUUUUGAUAGCACAAAAACACAUUAUUUCAUAAGUCCAUCUUCCCACUUUCAUAUAACCCAUUCCCACUUCAGCAACCUAAAAGUUCAUGCUCUGAUUCUUCUUUCUGAAAAUAAGUUGGGGUUUAUCAAUUAUAAGUGUAACAACACUAGCAAUGUAAAUUACAGCAGUGUCCAACCCUUUUUGCAAAAUUGUCAUAGCCCAGUAAUGACUCCAGUCUUGAUGGUUAUCAGUGAGGUAGGAUGGUGAUUUUCUGUUAUUUAGGGUAAUUCAAUCCAAGCAGAACAUAAACAUUAGGAAAAUUUAUACUUUUGGCUAGAUCUAUUUUACAUGCAUUUGAAAGCUAGCUGUAUUUAAUCACUUUUUAUUACAUAAACUAAUGAUGUGGAUAAUGUUAUUGACUUUUUAUUCAUCUCUUAAUGGGUAGUUUCAGAGCUAACCCACAUAAAUGUCCUCCUACAGUGCUGCUAAAUGAUAUGAUUAAAGUCAUAUAGGAAAAUGACAAAUCAUUCAUCAAGAACCACAACCCGAAGUUACAGGGGUGAUAAAAUGGAGCUGAAAGCCAAAUAAUCCAGUCCCGGUCAUGCAGUUAACUACUCAAAUCCAGUCAUCUCGAGUGUGGUGUGUUCACACACCCUGCUUUCUCUUCUCCGCUGCUCUAUCUACCCGACUUGGUCAGCAGUCUCAUGCAUUACUAACUCUGUCUGGAGACAGCAGCCCAGGUGAAGUAUGCCUUCUAGAAAAGUGAGAAAUUACAGUGCCAAAGACACAGCCCUCUGAGGUGACUUAGAAUCAACUGGGCCGAGAUUCUGCACUUCUAGCAAGCUGCCUUGUGAUCCUAUCAUAUUGCUGCUGGUCCAUGGAUCCAAGCAGAGGAAGCUUAAGAAGACUGUUGUGGACAACAGUAGAUAAGAACUCAUCUUACUUUUCAAAUAAGGCCCUUUUUCUCACAGGUUCUGCGGAAGAAGAAACAAUCAGAGAGAUAACUCUGUGAGUUUUCACAAUAAAUGCAAUCAGCAGCACAAUAAAUUAUACAUUUUCAUCAUCCCUAGUAUACCUCCAUGUCCUUUGUGGCCAACCAGUGAGACCCCUUGAUCUGUUUUCUGCAGAAUGUCAUAUAAAAGAAAUCACAGCAUUUCAAUGCAGUCUUUUGAUAAUGGUUUCUUUCAUUAACUACAGCAUUAAAGCUUUAUUCUUGGUUUAUGUAUUAUUAUCACUUCCUUUUUUCACUGAGUUGUAUUUGCUUAUAUUGAUAUAUCACAUCUUGCUUAUCUAUUCCAUAAUUGAGAGAUUUUUUUUAUUUUGGUUAAUCUAAAAAUGGUAAAAAUGCAUGUAUAAAUUUUUGUGUGAAUGUAGGCUGUAUUUCACUUGACUAACAAGUGAAAUAAAAAUAACAAACAAUGAGAUUGCUGGGUUGUACGUCAAAUGUAUGUUUAUAAGAAACUAUCAAAGUGUUUUCCAUAGUUCUUUUCUUACAGUCUCACCAGAGUUCCAGGUUUAUUUUUGUAGUUUACUCACUCUCUCAAUGUCAUAAAUUAAUUUGCCUAUUCUUGAACAUCAAAUAAUGGAAUUAUUUAUGUGGCUUCUUUUGCUUAAUAUAAAGUUUGUAGAAUUCAUUCAUGUUAUUCCAUGUAAUAAGAGUUUAUUCUUUUUUGCUGAUGAAUAGUAUUCUGUAAUAUGAAUACAAACCUGUUUUGUUUAUUCAUUCAUUUGUUGUUGGACAUUUGGGUUGUAAGAAACAGCAGGGAAGUCACAAUAGUUUUGUGGUGUGUGUGUGUGUGUGUGUGUGUGUUGGUUAAUCAGCAGUUUCCACAAUAAAGAUAGGC
Molecule: long non-coding RNA, 7498 nt
Filed under: Heterocephalus glaber (naked mole-rat)
Lineage: Eukaryota; Metazoa; Chordata; Mammalia; Rodentia; Bathyergidae
Description: lncRNA (ENSHGLG00100041175.1)
Source: RNAcentral